RNAcentral lists this ribosomal RNA (295 nucleotides) under uncultured soil bacterium. RNAcentral describes it as "partial 16S ribosomal RNA". It matches the Rfam family "Bacterial small subunit ribosomal RNA", at positions 26 to 346 of the family's 1533-position model. The record is from RNAcentral.
AGAACGAACGCUGGCGGCAUGCCUAAUACAUGCAAGUCGAACGAACUCUUCGGAGUUAGCGGCGCACGGGUGCGUAACGCGUGGGAAUCUGCCCCUUGGUUCGGAAUAACAGUUGGAAACGACUGCUAAUACCGGAUGAUGACGAAAGUACCAAAGAUUUAUCGCCAAGGGAUGAGCCCGCGUAGGAUUAGCUAGUUGGUGAGGUAAGGCUCACCAAGGCAACGAUCCUUAGCUGGUCUGAGAGGAUAGAUCACGCCACGCUGGACUGAGACCACGGCCCAGACUCCGUACGGGA